Long non-coding RNA from Piliocolobus tephrosceles (Ugandan red Colobus), 1138 nucleotides. RefSeq lists it as uncharacterized. The transcript has 3 exons. Lineage: Eukaryota; Metazoa; Chordata; Mammalia; Primates; Cercopithecidae. The record is from RefSeq and is a predicted model, not a curated record.
UUCAAAGGUUUGGAGCAGAUAACUAACAGAAUCUGAAGUGCAUUUUGAAAGGACCAUCUGACUGCCACGCAAAAUAGGGAGGGCAGUAAGAGGGAAGCACAAAGUCCAGGAAAUGGUUGAGUCCUGGAUACACUGCUAUGGAGAGCCAACAGGAUCUGCUGAUAAAUUGGACAUGAAGUGUGAGAGAAAGAGAGAAUCAUGGCUGACUCAAACGUUUUAGCCUGGGCACCUGGAAGGAUGUAGUUGGGAUCCAGAAGUUGAGACAGGGAAGUUUGGAGGUGAAGAUCAGAAGUUGAGUUUCAGUGAUGCACUUCCGGGCCACCCACCCGGGCUGGGAGGAGCAGUGAUGCUGCGGUGCUCCUUUGUCUGUGCCCUGCUCCCAGGGCUAUGUUGAGAUGCAACUGGGAACCACAAAGAAGUUCAAAGAGAAUCAGGAGAGAAGGCCCCUCUGCAUCAGAGCAAUUAGAAGAAGUGGCUGGCCCCUUGCAGCACCUGAUGGGAUUCUGGUGUACCCCCACCCGUGCUUUUGACAAGGGAAUUCUAUCUUUCUCCUAAAAAGCGAUGUUUACCAAGGGAUUCACACAUAGUGGCCAUUCCAUGCCCCACUGUGCUUGGAUUUUGCUCUCCAACCUUGUUCCAGGGGAGGCCUGGACCAUGUAGGGCAACACCACACAGCUCCUGGGAAAGUGAGAAAUCCAGCUGUCUCCAAGGACCACAUGACUCAGACAGCUGUUUUGCUGGAUCAUUGGACUAAGCAGUGUAGGAGAUAAAUCCAAAUAGAAGCCUAGUGGCUCAGCCCCAGUGUGAUGGCCUCAAGGCAAAGCAUAAAGCUUUUUCCUCUAGCCAAAUAUAGUCAUGUGUCACUUCACAACUGGAGUAUACUCAAAGAAAUGCAUCAUUAAGUGAUUUCAUCAUUGUGUGGACAUCAUAGAGUGUACUUACACAAACCUAGAUAAUAUAGCCUCUUACAUGCCUAAGCUACACAGUAUUAUGUAUUGCUUUUAGGCUGCAAACCUGUACAGUAUGUGACUUUACUGAAUGCUAUAGCCAAUUGUAACACAAUGGUAAGUAUUGGUAUAUCUAAAUAUAUCUAAACAUAGAAAAGGUACAAUAAAAAUAUGGUGUAAAAGAUAAUGAA